Taeniopygia guttata (zebra finch) is the source of this 2492-nucleotide long non-coding RNA. RefSeq lists it as uncharacterized. Lineage: Eukaryota; Metazoa; Chordata; Aves; Passeriformes; Estrildidae. The record is from RefSeq and is a predicted model, not a curated record.
CUUGAGGCUGAAACUGUGAUCUGGUCCUUCUGUCACAGGAUAAAUCCGAACAGCCUGGCCAUAUCAACCCAUUUUAAAGAUAUGUCAACUUUUUACAGACUUCAAAACAAAUUUUAAAUCAAUGCUUUUCAGCCUGACACCUUUUGCUUUUCUGUGAACUUUGUCUGAGCCACAGUCUGACCUAGCAAAUACAGCAAACCUAACUGACAGAAUUAAGCAUAAAUGUGUUGCUUAUAAGAUCAACCAGACAGCUUCCCAUCCUCUAUUUUUACCUCUUCUAAUUUGAACUCUUUCUUUGCUUUACAUUUGUUAGCUGGGUCCCUGUCUUGGGUUUGCAUCACAAGGUUUUGGUAGCAGGGGGGAGCUUCUGCUGGCUCCAGAAGUCAUCAUUGUAGCUCCCCCCUGCUUGACAAAGCCAAUGCCAGCCAGCUACAAGAAAGAUCCACCACUGGAAAAAAUGGACAAGCCCAUCAGCAAUGGUGGCAGCGCCUCUGGGAUAAAAUAGUUAAAGGAAGAACAAAAAACUGCACAGCUACAGCUGAAGAGGAAUGAGAAAAUGUGAGAGAAACAGCCCUGCAGACAUUGAGCACAGAAGGAUGGGGAGGAAGUGCCCUGAUGACGGAGCAGAGAUUUUCCUCCAUUCCAUGGUGCCAACCAUGGUAAGUCCACCUGCCACCCAUGGAGCUCCAUGGGGGAGCAGAGUCCCACCCGUAGCCUAUGGACAACACCAGGUCACAGCAGAUGGAUGCCUGAAGGAGGCUGUCUCACCAGCCCCAAACUAAAACCCUGAGAGUGAGCCAAAGACUUGGCAGGACAAAGUGACUUAAAAGUGCUGACCGUCUGGGGCUAAGAUCAGAUCCAGCCUCACCGAGGCUUUUCUCUGCAAAGGAGUUCAGAAAGGAAGGGGGUCCUCUCUGCACCUCGUGACUCAGUGGGAUGGCUCUUCUAGUAAACUUUGUCUGAAGCUCCCCAUCUCACCCAUGACAACAGGACCUGUGGCCCCAUGGAGAGAGGAGCCCACACUGCAGCAGGUUUGCUGGCAGGACUUGUGAUUCCCACGGGGGAUCCACACUGCAGCAUCUUGUUCCUGAAGGAACAGGGACCCACGCUGGAGCACUUUGUGAGGAGCUGCAGCUUGGGGAAGGACUCAUGCUGAAGAAGUCCAUGGAGGACUGUCUCCCCUGGGAGGAAACCCAUGCUGGAGCAGGGGAAGAAGGUGAGGAGUCCUUCUGCUAAGGAGGAAGGAGCAGCAGAGUCAAUGUGUGAUGAACUGACCACAGCCACAUUAACAGCCCACUCAUCCUGCCUGGGGUAGAGAAUUUGGGACUGAAGUUAAGUUGAGGAAGUUGGGAGGGGUGGGGAAAAGGUGAUUAAAGAUGUUUUCAUUUUCUCAUUAUCUUACUCUGAUUUGGUUGGUUAUGACUUAAAUUUUUUCAUAAACAAAAAGCUUUGGUUUUAUUUAUAGAGUUAUGCUGUAAAGGUACCUAGGAAGGAUGAAUUUCAUAAAUUCUAUGCAUUUCUUAAGUUAGUAAAUACCUUGAAUAGUUAAAAUGACCCUUAGCACUACUUUUGUAGAUACAUAGCUUGCUAGAAUAUUAGGUGAUGGGAAAUUAAAAAUGCUAAUAACUUUUGGCAUUUUUAACAGCAUAUGAAUUAGCAAAGAAAAUGGACUGAGAUUGCUAUUUAUUAUGAAACUUAAUGAUCUUUAUGAGCUUUCACCUCAAAUAGCCACUCAUGUACAUCACAUAAAUGUACACUUACUGUGAUGGUAAUUAAUCAAUCACCAUCCCUUGUCCACCCAGAAUUUUUCUUGCUGAAAAUUUCAAAGCCUUGGCAAAUUGUUCAAAAGGAAUGAAGAGAGGAGAAUAAGAUACUACUAUAAACCAGGUCUAAUCCUAUUACAUGCUGCUGACUGCCUUACUGACAUAUGCUCAACUUACCUUAUUAUUAGUCAUAACUGUUUGUUUUGCAAAGCUGCUUAUAAGAAAAUUCUACUUAUUUGUAAGUAUUUUCCUUAAAGUAUGAGGAAGGACCUGUUUUGCAAAGCUGCUUAUAAGAAAAUUCUACUUAUUUGUAAGUAUUUUCCUUAAAGUAUGAGGAAGGACCUGUUUUGCAAAGCUGCUUAUAAGAAAAUUCUACUUAUUUGUAAGUAUUUUCCUUAAAGUAUGAGGAAGGACCAGUUGUCAAUCUACCAAAAUUCCCACCACGGCAAACUGCGAGAAAGGAAGCAAUUCCUUAUACAUAUGCAGCUCCAGCUGUAGGAAUGCAUCUACACUCUGCAAACCUGGGGCCUGGAUAUUGUAAAAGCGAUGCUUCCACAAGACACUCCAGGACCUACACCACAGAGAAGAACAGAAGAAAAAGGGCCACCAGGAUGCUGCAGGACCUAUAGGGUGGUGACUUUAUUUCUACUUAUGUCUCUUUCUCUUCACCACUCACUCCUCCCUGUACCUCACAUUUACUGUUAAAUAAAAUCUGCACUCUUGACCUUG